CGAGAACCUCCCGGACUCCACUCUGCUCCUGGGGAUUCGCCCUUCCCACCAGAGCACCGCCAGGCCACAUCAUUCCAACUUCCAGGAAGUUUCAGCCCGACUACAGAGGUUCAUGGACUUAUUUUCUUUAUAAUAACCCCUGGCACACAUUCAUUCAUUCAUUCAUUCUCCAUUGAGAACUUCUCUAUCCCUGCUACUGUUCUAGAUAAUAAAGAUACAUUGUAAGCAAAUAA
Felis catus (domestic cat) is the source of this 233-nucleotide long non-coding RNA. RefSeq lists it as uncharacterized. The transcript is spliced from 2 exons. The record is from RefSeq and is a predicted model, not a curated record. NCBI's taxonomy places the organism in Eukaryota, Metazoa, Chordata, Mammalia, Carnivora, Felidae.